UACGUAGGGGGCAAGCGUUGUCCGGAAUCAUUGGGCGUAAAGCGCGUGUAGGCGGCUCGUUAUGUCGGAUGUGAAAGCCCUUGGCUUAACCGAGGAAGUGCAUCCGAAACUGGCGAGCUAGAGUACUAAAGAGGAUCGCGGAAUUCCCGGUGUAGAGGUGAAAUUCGUAGAUAUCGGGAGGAACACCGGUGGCGAAGGCGGCGAUCUGGGUAGAUACUGACGCUGAGGUGCGAAAGCGUGGGGAGCAAACAGG
Molecule: ribosomal RNA, 253 nt
Filed under: uncultured bacterium
Lineage: Bacteria
Description: partial 16S ribosomal RNA
Rfam family: Bacterial small subunit ribosomal RNA
Source: RNAcentral